Macrobrachium nipponense is the source of this 1508-nucleotide long non-coding RNA. RefSeq lists it as uncharacterized. Lineage: Eukaryota; Metazoa; Arthropoda; Malacostraca; Decapoda; Palaemonidae. The transcript is spliced from 12 exons. The record is from RefSeq and is a predicted model, not a curated record.
AGAUAGGAAAUAUGAAAAAUAAUAUUGAUUCAAGACGAUAAGUACGAAUCAUAGCGUAAAAAAGACGAAGUACUCGAUUUCCUUCAGUGAACGAAUGCCGUCAGGUUGUUUUCUUCUGCGGUAACAUCCAUGAAGUGUCAAUCCCUUACAUUCGUACUUCCUCAGUAAGUACUACCUAAAUUAUCCUGAAUUUUAUAGUCUUGUCCAGCUCUCUCAAUCGAAGGAAAGACAAUUCCAAGAGUAAUAUAUGAAUUCCAUUAAGAAUUUCAUUAGUUGAAUCGAAGCGAGGAGCGUUUGGACUCAUGUGUUGGUGAGGUGUCACUCACAAGGUAAGAGCUUUUUGUGGAGUUACUUUGCAGGUUCAUUCUUAAAGGUUGUCAUCUGAUGUAAAAUGCAUUGAUAUUCCUUUAUGUACAAAGCUGCCGUUCUCUUAGAUCGAUUACCUCAUUCAGAAUGAAUCCAGGUAUUGUAUGUUAGGCAAUGGCAGUUGACAAGCGUCGGAGUACAACACGCGUUCGGUCCUUUUCUUCCGUAUCGUUAUUUAUCAAUAAUCAUAUAGAAUAAUUUCGCUGGCUGACGCUUAAUUUUCGACUGCUGUGUUCAUUAUGAAGAUGGAAACAUCCCCAGAGAUACUGAUUUGAAAGCUGCAGUGAAGAUCCAAUAUGCAUCCUUCGAAUUGGGUGGAUCCAGGAAAGCUUGACCGGAAGUUCUAUAAGUAGUAAAGAAUGAGGCUUUUAGUCAGAUAACGCUAUUGCUGAUCUUGGCCCAUCUCACGGUUGCACUAUAAACAAACCAUCUGGGGAACGAUGAUCGUCGCUGCACGGGCUGCUUCAAUGACCAAGAUUUGCCGUCCUUUGUCUCACCUUGGAUAGAGGGGGAGAUCCAGGAAAGGCGAAUGUUCUGAUAUUAUUAACGUCUUUCGAAGAUAAAUAUAUCAGUGAUCCAACAACAGCUGAGACAGAUCAGGCACUGUUCCUUGGUUCCAGUUCAGAAACGCGGAUCAGUCCCAAAUCUUCAGAUACUGAAUGGAUCAUUUGCAGGCUCCGUUAAUGUUUAUCUUAAAUUCCUCCAGCGAAUAUGAGCGAUGACCAGCCUGUAGGAAUUCGUAAACGCAGGGUACAUCUUAGAAACGUGGACCAAAAACCCUUUGCCCUUUUGGUAGAUGUGUCCUUCUGCCUCGAUUGAUUCAUCCUGACUCUCCUGUGAAGGAACCCGGUGCCAGAAGACAUCAAAACCUCCUGUCUUCGUGAAAUGGAACGCUGGCGACGAUGAUGACAUCAUCAUUGUGGAGAAGACGAUUUCUUUAUGUGAUGAAGAACUGCUGUGCAAUUCGUGGAAAGGACGAUGACAUUCGCACUUCCUGAACAUAUUGUAUUUAUUGUAUCUUUAAUAUCUCAUGACGUGUAAUCAUCAUAAUAGCAAAUUAUGAAGACUGGUCUUCCAUCGUUCAUUCUUUGUUAACUGAUAUCAUCUUUCGGAAAUAUUAAUAAAAUGUUAUUUGAACCAGA